RNAcentral lists this ribosomal RNA (496 nucleotides) under uncultured bacterium. RNAcentral's name for it is "partial 16S ribosomal RNA". It matches the Rfam family "Bacterial small subunit ribosomal RNA", at positions 28 to 506 of the family's 1533-position model. The record is from RNAcentral.
GAUGAACGCUGGCGGCGUGCCUAAUACAUGCAAGUCGAGCGAACAGACGAGGAGCUUGCUCCUCUGACGUUAGCGGCGGACGGGUGAGUAACACGUGGAUAACCUACCUAUAAGACUGGGAUAACUUCGGGAAACCGGAGCUAAUACCGGAUAAUAUAUUGAACCGCAUGGUUCAAUAGUGAAAGACGGUUUUGCUGUCACUUAUAGAUGGAUCCGCGCCGCAUUAGCUAGUUGGUAAGGUAACGGCUUACCAAGGCAACGAUGCGUAGCCGCCCUGAGAGGGUGAUCGGCCCCACUGGACCUGAGACCCGGUCCAGACUCCUACGGGAGGCAGCAGUAGGGAAUCUUCCGCAAUGGGCGAAAGCCUGACGGAGCAACGCCGCGUGAGUGAUGAAGGUCUUCGGAUCGUAAAACUCUGUUAUUAGGGAAGAACAAAUGUGUAAGUAACUAUGCACGUCUUGACGGUACCUAAUCAGAAAGCCACGGCUAACUACGU